This 305-nucleotide long non-coding RNA is filed under the name Paramuricea clavata. The record is from RNAcentral. Lineage: Eukaryota; Metazoa; Cnidaria; Anthozoa; Malacalcyonacea; Plexauridae.
UGCAGUGGUCUCAUGAAAUAAGGAAACGUAUUCGUGCUAGGAACACACGCGAAUUUCGGACGAAUGAAUCUUGCUUGUAUUUUGUAGAUAUAAUAAUACUUUGUUUCAUAAUAAACAAUUUGUCAAGUGUCAUUUAUUUACUGGUAAUAGUGCAUGUUUCAGUCGGGCAAAUCUUGAUUAAUAUUUGAUACGCCGAUUUUUGCAUAUUUCAGACACAUCCAGAAACAUCCUCCCGAAUUUAAAGAUUAAUAUCUCCGUGAAUUUUUAAGUGAAAUACAACUGUAAUAUAUCAAAGUCUAAGUUAG